AAAAGCAUGUAUGGCAGAAAAGCCUUUCUACAGCUGUAAAUGAGCUGCGGUCUGACGCCCACAGCAAAAGUACUUGUUAGCAGAGCAGCUAAGCCCCAAGUGAUGCCGUUUGGAUCGUUUUCCCUUAUAACACAUCCCUCUCCUAUCUGACGAUAGCCUGAGCAAGCUGCGGAGGGUCUGUAUUCCUGGUAGCACCUCAGAGCAGAGGCACAAGGGAGGCAAAGGCUCUUCCCCAAGGCCGGGCAGAGGGUCUGUGCCCAGCACCAUCUCCUGCUCCCUCUCAUGCUGGAGAGCUGCUGCUCGGGGCCAACGCAGACAUGGAUACCUUCAGCUGCAGCUCUCAGGAUGAGAUGGCUCCAGGAAACAGCAUCACAAAGUUAGCAGCAUGAAGUGGAUGAUGAGAUGGUGUCAUUCCCAGAAAGACUUCUGCUGUUGGUAUCUCGUGAAGCAUCUUGACAGUGUGAUGGCAUCCCACAGCUCCUUGUGCUUCUUCAGGUAAGUGUGCAGUGUACCCACAGGGCAGCCAAAUCAUAGGAUCAGAGGAGUUAAAGACAGGCAAGA
This 561-nucleotide long non-coding RNA is filed under the name Anas platyrhynchos platyrhynchos (common mallard). Its description in RNAcentral is "lncRNA (ENSAPLG00000017395.1)". Lineage: Eukaryota; Metazoa; Chordata; Aves; Anseriformes; Anatidae. The record is from RNAcentral.